AUGUAUAAUUGAUAGGAAAUGGAUACUCCGCAUCAAAUGGGAGAGAAACUGGCAAGACUAUAGGUCGUAACGAGAAACAAGUCGCUGUCACAUACGUACAUGCCAUGGAACCACCGCAGAAAACAUAGCAUUUCUUGAUGUACUUGUAGAAGAUUUUUUUCUCGUAUUGUUGUGCUUCUCUAACAUAAGUCAUCAUUUCCUCGACUGUACGCUAUAACGCGUAAUUAAAACACAUUGGUAUAAUUUUAGACAAGUGUGUAGAAUGGGGCACGCCACACCGUUUUAGAUAAGUUUGAAAUAUGUUGUCAAGAUCAAUCUUAUCACUUCUGAUACUGCAGCACAUACUCAGAAAGAUCUCAAGCUUAUCAGAAUCGGUCGAUCUUCUUACGUUGCCACUCGAAAGUACCAAAAGUGCUAUUACAAACGUCUUUACAAGUGACGCGAAAUGUACUGUAAGUGACGCAAGCAGAAAAAUACAUGUGGACGUCGAUGGACACAGAUCUUACAAUUAGCUAAAACUGGUAUUAAAGAAGUUCAAUGCAUCGAAACUUUAGAUUAAUCGAAAUCAGUCAAAUGGUGUCGUCGCCCUGAGGAGAACAUUUGGUGUGUGAGAGGAAUGCAUUUCUUACCCCUAUGCUAUCUCGGAUGUUAUCUUCAGAGCGAUUGACAGUAAGUACUUUAAAAAUUCACUUCAUAGUCAGUAGCCUAUUUUUCAAACCAUUCUUUUCUUACUAUGCUUUUCAAUUUUCAUAAAUAUCCGAUUAACUUAAUUUUUUCAAAUAUCUCAUUGUGCGUUGUUCUAUUGCCCAAACGUUACACUAAGGCUAUAUAUGUAUGUAUAUCUUGAUAGAAAAGAAAUUUAUCUUACCCUAUUAUUUCUUGGUGUUCCUUGAUACAGCUUACCAAUAUGUCAGAGCUAUUCACGUGCCGUAGUUUCAUUCUUAGUAUGUCUAGUCUGGCUGCGGAGAAACUGAACAAAACAGCGAUCGUGAAAUCAACGCCGAUGCAGAAUGCCGUUUGAAAAAUGCAGUAAACUUGGUUAACGUAGACCAUGCAAUAUAUUCCGAGUGAUUCGGUGGAAAAUGGAAGCCAUCCAUCUGCUGGUAAUUCUUGGGCCGAGAAGAAAGGCGCCAAACUAAAUGAGAUCGCGGUUGUGAUAUAUCCCAUUGCAGUUACCGAGAGAAAUUGCUUGUAACGAUCCAUGUAUCUUUCUAUUGCCUUAGUCUCAUGUUCACUGGCCACUUCUAGGAAUGCUUUGACUUUUCCUGUCAGAACCUGAAUUGAUUAAAAAAAUCUACAAACUUUUUUACCGUAUCUUUAUUGUGAAACAUCAUUAAGCUCAUGCUUCAAACCCAAAUAACCUGUAGGUGAGCGUUAUUCCUUCUACAAAGAAUCAAAUCGAAGAGCACCUCCAACAGAGCUGUUACUUCGGAGACAGUUUUCAUCAAAAUAGGUAUAUCGUGUCGGAAGUGAAAGAUAGCGAAUACCAAGGAUAUCGUUAGAAAAACAACGUUUAAUAUCGCAAACGACCAUCGGAUGUUGCGAAAAAAGAUUUGUUUCUU
This 1562-nucleotide unclassified non-coding RNA is filed under the name Bombus terrestris (buff-tailed bumblebee). Its description in RNAcentral is "misc RNA ENSBTSG00005028372.1". The record is from RNAcentral. Lineage: Eukaryota; Metazoa; Arthropoda; Insecta; Hymenoptera; Apidae.